AGCCUGAUGCAGCCAUGCCGCGUGUGUGAAGAAGGCCUUCGGGUUGUAAAGCACUUUCAGCAAGGAGGAAAGGGUGUAAGUUAAUACCUUACAUCUGUGACGUUACUUGCAGAAGAAGCACCGGCUAACUCCGUGCCAGCAGCCGCGGUAAUACGGAGGGUGCGAGCGUUAAUCGGAAUUACUGGGCGUAAAGCGUACGCAGGCGGUUUGUUAAGCGAGAUGUGAAAGCCCCGGGCUUAACCUGGGAACUGCAUUUCGAACUGGCAGGCUAGAGUGUGAUAGAGGGUGGUAGAAUUUCAGGUGUAGCGGUGAAAUGCGUAGAGAUCUGAAGGAAUACCGAUGGCGAAGGCAGCCACCUGGGUCAACACUGACGCUCAUGUACGAAAGCGUGGGGAGCAAACAGGAUUAGAUACCCUGGUAGUCCACGCCGUAAACGAUGUCUACUAGGAGCUCGGCUUUUCGGAGCUGUUUUCCAAAGCAAACGCAUUAAGUAGACCGCCU
Molecule: ribosomal RNA, 501 nt
Filed under: Pseudoalteromonas ruthenica
Lineage: Bacteria; Pseudomonadati; Pseudomonadota; Gammaproteobacteria; Alteromonadales; Pseudoalteromonadaceae
Description: bacterial SSU rRNA
Rfam family: Bacterial small subunit ribosomal RNA
Source: RNAcentral